This 22-nucleotide microRNA is filed under the name Electrophorus electricus (electric eel). Its description in RNAcentral is "eel-miR-11060-3p". Lineage: Eukaryota; Metazoa; Chordata; Actinopteri; Gymnotiformes; Gymnotidae. The record is from miRBase by way of RNAcentral.
UUGAGAACUAACUGACCAGAGA